This 337-nucleotide unclassified non-coding RNA is filed under the name soil metagenome. RNAcentral describes it as "partial contains 5.8S ribosomal RNA, internal transcribed spacer 2, and large subunit ribosomal RNA". The stretch from base 1 to 120 matches the Rfam family "5.8S ribosomal RNA", at positions 35 to 154 of the family's 154-position model. The record is from RNAcentral.
GAUGAAGAACGCAGCGAAAUGCAAUAAGUAGUGUGAAUUGCAGAAUUCAGUGAAUCAUCGAAUCUUUGAACGCACAUUGCGCCCCUUGGUAUUCCAUGGGGCAUGCCUGUUCGAGCGUCAUUUGUACCUUCAAGCUCUGCUUGGUGUUGGGUGUUUGUCUCGCCUCUGCGUGUAGACUCGCCUCAAAACAAUUGGCAGCCGGCGUAUUGAUUUCGGAGCGCAGUACAUCUCGCGCUUUGCACUCAUAACGACGACGUCCAAAAGUACAUUUUUACACUCUUGACCUCGGAUCAGGUAGGGAUACCCGCUGAACUUAAGCAUAUCAAUAAGCGGAGGA